Molecule: long non-coding RNA, 281 nt
Organism: Capra hircus (goat)
Lineage: Eukaryota; Metazoa; Chordata; Mammalia; Artiodactyla; Bovidae
Exons: 3
Source: RefSeq, a predicted model, not a curated record
UUGCCAUUUUGUGUGUAUGAAAUUCCUUUCUUUCAGCUCAUGCAAAUACAAUUGAACAUCCCACUUCUAGUGGGAAAAAGAAGGGAUAAUAGUGUGAGGUGGUGACUGGGAAAGCAGCAAUGGGGUGUAAGUGGUCACACAGUUGGAAUCACUUUUGGAUACCAUAAAACCGAAUUCAAAGCUCUGCAUACUUUAUCUACUUCAUUCCUCAUUUUUCUAGUACAACUGCAUUUACUGACAUUCAAUGUUGAUUAUCUCAGCUGUUCUACCAUGAGACAGAG